RNAcentral lists this long non-coding RNA (1538 nucleotides) under Struthio camelus australis. RNAcentral's name for it is "lncRNA (ENSSCUG00000010684.1)". Lineage: Eukaryota; Metazoa; Chordata; Aves; Struthioniformes; Struthionidae. The record is from RNAcentral.
CUGGCAAAGGCUUUUGGGAUGGCAGAGGGAAGAUGGAGGAUGAACAGAAGAGCAGAAGGGGAUGGGGAGAGUCCUAGGUCCAUCUAUCCAACUUCUCUAAACCAUGAAUGCCAGAAAGAAACUCACAUCUCUACUGCGUAUGACAGCUCUGGUACGAGGGGAUUUGGCCGAGCUAAGAAGCCCACAUCUGAGAACCCAACAGUCCUGUUGCUAUCAGUGGGAAGACUCAUGCCAAAAGUCAUAUAAUUGCCUUCCACCAAGCAGGACAAGAGACAGUCACCAAGAAACCUUCUGAGAUGACCAGUGUGUCAAGGGAGGAGAAGAAGUAUCUAAUUAUGUUACUGAGAGUUAGGCACCUGAUGCUGCACAAUGAGGAGAUUCACAGCCGUAAACCCUCUGGUGUUUAAUGUUUUAGCUAGUCCUUUAUUAUAAGGCAGAGAAGGAAAAGUGGAAGUUCCAUUUUACUAAAGAGCAACAUGAUUACUGUGGUUGUCAAGGAUGGGGUGACUGGAUAAAUCACUCCAUGCAGGUUGAAAUGAUCCCAGCUGAAGAAGUAAAGAGGCUAAUGCCCUGUACUGAGUAGAAUUAAUUAACCUCCCCCCAUCCUUUCCUUUCAUUUUAAUAUUUUGUGGAGCACCUGCUAAAUGUAGUCUUAAUGUUGGAGGAUGGGAGUGUUCCAUAAAACACAGGUUGGACUGCCCAUUAAAUCGUAUACUGCAGGCAAGAGGGGAGAUAAAUUGCCUGGUUUGUGGAUCUCAGCUGGACUUAGGUAUGAGGAAAGGCCAAAGACCAGUUGACUGAACAGCCAGAGACCUGUGUUAGGGCAAGCGGGAUGUGUGAAAACUUUAUGGGCUUGCAAGCUUAACCGGGAGCUCUGGUGCCAGGAUCUCUUGGUGACUCUGGAGUCCCUAAAUUUAGGCCUUGGUUGCUGCUGCUUUAAUUCCUACCUGCUUUUAUUAUCUGUCCUUUUAAAAAGUGAAGGAUGUUUUAUUCAUAAACUGGAAGUUUUCUAUGAGGAUCAGCAGGAUUCAUUUCUGCAGCAGCUGAGGGAGAAGAGGGAGUGAUAGUUAUCAGAGCUAAUCUAGCAAAGGAAAUGCCAGCCUUGGAGAGGCACAGGACAUCCUACGAUGUGGACCAGAGAUUCUAGAAUAAGCUCUUGUUCUGAAUCACCCUCUGAAAGAAGCUAACUUUUCCCACUGACUGGGAGAGGGAGGGAUGCUGGAGGGGGUCAGUCACACUAGGGUCAGGUUAACCUUCCCUGUAUUUAGUCCUUCAGUGUUCUCCUGUAGAAAUGGCCUUUCGAGUUGUGUCAUCCUAGUAAAUGGACACUUCAUCCUAGUAAAUGGACACUAAGACCACUCUGUUUAUGGAGUCUAUCUUACAUUCUGGAACAUUUGGCUAUUUCAUUUCCUCCCAGAAAGAAAGAAACAAACGUUUACUUCUUUACUAGACCAUCAUUGCUGAUUCCACUUAGCUUCUUUACAAUUACUUGCAGCUGGAUCCAUUAAAAAAUAAAACACUCUCUCCCUUUUAUGUCA